Triticum aestivum (bread wheat) is the source of this 1566-nucleotide long non-coding RNA. RefSeq lists it as uncharacterized. Lineage: Eukaryota; Viridiplantae; Streptophyta; Magnoliopsida; Poales; Poaceae. The transcript has 4 exons. The record is from RefSeq and is a predicted model, not a curated record.
UCAAAUGGACCCACGCCAGCCAAAUGAAUGCAUCCCCCCUACAGCAGCUUCGGUCCUGUUUGAGUAAAAGGGGAUCGAGCCAAGGAAAAAUUAGAGCGGGAGGGGCCGCGGCGGCGAUCUCACGGGCUGCUUACUCUACUUGGCCGGCCGCAUGACCAGCGGAGGUGCUAAUGGCGACCGACUACCUCGUGCCCCUAGUGGACAGGUCAAAAUGGGCAUUAUUUUCUGGAGGUUGGAGGUUAAUUUCUUUGCCUAAGGAUUGCUCAAAAAUCAACUGCAGGUUACCCAUCUUCGUGAAUGAGGCGUGCAGUGUAGCUAUUCUAAUGGACAUGGUGUGUGGCGGAGCUCCGGCGCAGGAUGAAUCGGGCGACGGAUCUAGAUGGGGAUAGAAGAAGCGGGGAACAGUGCAGUGGGAGGAUUUGGUGGCCAGCGUGGGGGGCAGCGUAGUGGUGCGCCCUACGGCGAGAAGACAAGUGGUGAUGCAGGUUGCAGAGCCGUGUCCGAUUUCAGUGAGAGUGAAAUUGAUAACGCGGAUGUGAUUGAGCAAGGCGACGCCCAGAUGGCACACAUGUGAUAUCUUUAAUCUCUGUUUUCCAUCAGCUAGCAGAAGCGCAGUAGCCAUCAGGUUGAUCACCUCCACCAUGACAAAAAGGACACCUUGUCCCAGCAGGGUCGGCACACUCCGCUCCACUGAAAUUACAGGACCGGACGCCGUGUCCGGGGAGAAUUGGUGCACUGGAGCAAACGGUUCGGGUAUAUACAGAUAAGUUGGGUGAGCAUGCUGCUAUUGGGCUAACAUCGGACUCUGUGGGAGAAACCAAAUAUUUUUACAAUCUUUAUUCACGGAAGCAUGGUUUCGGCAUCAGAUAUGGGAAAAGUAGGCUUAACAUCGAGAAGACAAAGUGUAUGCAGGAAGUUGUCUAUGGAUAUGCUCUGGGAAGCCAAAUAUCAGAAAACAGCAGGUCCUGCCGGUGCGAGUGCCCAGCCAUGAUUCGAUUGCUCUACGCAGCUGACAAUGGGGUACACCUCGUUUGCCGCUGCAGUCAGAGAUGCAGUUGACGGCGAGCAGUUAGAUAUGUUCGCGAUGAUGAUGAAGGGGUCGGCUCAAUCAACGUGGAAGAUGGAUCAACAGGCGCUUGGCUAGACGGAAAGGCAACGCAGAUAAACUUUGCUUGGUGGAAUUUACUGUGAGGGUUAGAGUUGGUAGCCAUACCCUUGACAGGAUUGCUCAUGUUGGGACGACGGGGUAGGUGGGAGCUGUGUGGAGACAUGGGUGGCUUGCGCCGUAACGUCCUAACGGAGCUAUAACUCUGAGACGGACGUCGGUGCAUUAAAUGGCAGCAGUGUGGGGCCAUUGCACUGUUGAAUAAUUGACCCACGCUCAGGAAUACAACCCAGAAUACAUAGCAUGUCACGCAUCACGAGGAGAGUUGGUGGUCCCGAUAUCAGGAGCAUCUGGACCGGGAGCCAAAUUGCUUUUCGGACAGUCCCACACUAGGACUAUGCAAAAAUUGACUCGUAAUACUUAUGUACUCCCUCUGUAAACUAAUAUACGAGCGUUUAGAU